Molecule: unclassified non-coding RNA, 253 nt
Filed under: uncultured Planctomycetota bacterium
Lineage: Bacteria; Pseudomonadati; Planctomycetota
Description: uncultured planctomycete contains 16S-23S intergenic spacer region
Rfam family: Bacterial small subunit ribosomal RNA
Source: RNAcentral
UACGUAGGGUGCAAGCGUUGUUCGGAAUCACUGGGCAUAAAGCGCAUGUAGGCGGCUCGGCAAGUCGGGUGUGAAAGCCCCUGGCUCAACCAGGGAAUUGCAUUCGAUACUACCGGGCUCGAGGACGUCAGAGGAAAGUGGAACUCGUGGUGGAGCGGUGAAAUGCGUAGAUAUCACGAGGAACACCGGCGGCGAAAGCGACUUUCUGGGGCGUACCUGACGCUGAGAUGCGAAAGCCAGGGGAGCGAACGGG